GAUGAACGCUAGCGGCAGGCUUAACACAUGCAAGUCGAGGGGUAUAGUAGCAAUACUAGAGACCGGCGCACGGGUGCGUAACGCGUAUGCAACCUACCUUUUACAGAGGGAUAGCCCAGAGAAAUUUGGAUUAAUACCUCAUAGUGUUAUUAGAUGGCAUCAUUUGAUAACUAAAGUUCCAACGGUAAAGAUGGCAUGCGUCCUAUUAGCUAGAUGGUAAGGUAACGGCUUACCAUGGCUACGAUAGGUAGGGGUCCUGAGAGGGAGACUCCCCCACACUGGUACUGAGACACGGACCAGACUCCUACGGGAGGCAGCAGUGAGGAAUAUUGGACAAGUGGGCGCAAGCCUGAUCCAGCCAUGCCGCGUGCAGGAUGACGG
This 381-nucleotide ribosomal RNA is filed under the name uncultured bacterium. Its description in RNAcentral is "bacterial SSU rRNA". It matches the Rfam family "Bacterial small subunit ribosomal RNA", at positions 28 to 414 of the family's 1533-position model. The record is from RNAcentral.